This 498-nucleotide ribosomal RNA is filed under the name uncultured bacterium. RNAcentral describes it as "partial 16S ribosomal RNA". It matches the Rfam family "Bacterial small subunit ribosomal RNA", at positions 30 to 523 of the family's 1533-position model. The record is from RNAcentral.
AUUGAACGCUGGCGGCAUGCCUUACACAUGCGAGUCGAACGGUAACAGGUCUUCGGAUGCUGACGAGUGGCGAACGGGUGAGUAAUACAUCGGAACGUGCCUAGUAGUGGGGGAUAACUACUCGAAAGAGUGGCUAAUACCGCAUGAGAUCUACGGAUGAAAGCAGGGGAUCGCAAGACCUUGUGCUACUAGAGCGGCCGAUGGCAGAUUAGGUAGUUGGUGGGAUAAAAGCUUACCAAGCCGACGAUCUGUAGCUGGUCUGAGAGGACGAUCAGCCACACUGGGACUGAGACACGGCCCAGACUCCUACGGGAGGCAGCAGUGGGGAAUUUUGGACAAUGGGCGAAAGCCUGAUCCAGCAAUGCCGCGUGCAGGAUGAAGGCCUUCGGGUUGUAAACUGCUUUUGUACGGAACGAAAAGCCCCGGGUUAAUACCCUGGGGUCAUGAUGGUACCGUAAGAAUAAGCACCGGCUAACUACGUGCCAGCAGCCGCGGUAA